Molecule: ribosomal RNA, 861 nt
Filed under: uncultured soil bacterium
Lineage: Bacteria
Description: bacterial SSU rRNA
Rfam family: Bacterial small subunit ribosomal RNA
Source: RNAcentral
AGAGCGAACGCUGGCGGCAUGCUUAACACAUGCAAGUCGCACGGUCGGGGCAACUCGGCAGUGGCGGACGGGUGAGUAACGCGUAGGUAUCUAUCCAUGGGUGGGGGAUAACGCUGGGAAACUGGUGCUAAUACCGCAUGACACCUGAGGGUCAAAGGCGCGAGUCGCCUGUGGAGGAGCCUGCGUCCGAUUAGCUAGUUGGUGGGGUAAGAGCCUACCAAGGCGACGAUCGGUAGCUGGUCUGAGAGGAUGAUCAGCCACAUUGGGACUGAGACACGGCCCAAACUCCUACGGGAGGCAGCAGUGGGGAAUAUUGGACAAUGGGCGGAAGCCUGAUCCAGCAAUGCCGCGUGUGUGAAGAAGGUCUUCGGAUUGUAAAACCCUGUCGUCAGGGACGAAGGUUGCGGGUUGAACAUUCCCGUAACUUGACGGUACCUGGAGAGGAAGCCCCGGCUAACUCUGUGCCAGCAGCCGCGGUAAUACGUAGGGUCCAAGCGUUGUCCGGAUUUACUGGGCGUAAAGAGCGCGUAGGCGGUCUAUUAAGUGAGAAGUGAAAUCUCCAGGGCUCAACCCGGAAAAUGCUUUUUCAUACUGAUAGACUGGAGGGAUGCAGAGGUAUGUGGGAAUUCCCUGGGUGUAACGGUGAAAUGUGUUGAUAUCAGGAGGAACACCCAUGGCGAAGGCAGCAUACUGGGCAUCAUCUGACGCUGAGGCGCGAAAGCGUGGGUAGCAAACAGGAUUAGAUACCCUGGUAGUCCACGCCCUAAACGAUGGAUACUAGGCGUAAGAGGUAUCGACCCCUCUUGUGCCGCAGCUAACGCAUUAAGUAUCCCGCCUGGGGACUACGGCCGCAAGGUUGAA